This 790-nucleotide ribosomal RNA is filed under the name uncultured Gammaproteobacteria bacterium. RNAcentral's name for it is "bacterial SSU rRNA". It matches the Rfam family "Bacterial small subunit ribosomal RNA", at positions 74 to 859 of the family's 1533-position model. The record is from RNAcentral. Lineage: Bacteria; Pseudomonadati; Pseudomonadota; Gammaproteobacteria.
GGCCCGCAAGGGUGCUGACGAGUGGCGGACGGGUGAGUAAUGCGUAGGAAUCUGCCUAGUAAUGGGGGAUAACCUAGGGAAACUUAGGCUAAUACCGCAUAAGCCCUACGGGGGAAAGCAGGGGAUCGUAAGACCUUGCGUUAUUAGAUGAGCCUACGUCGGAUUAGCUAGUUGGUGGGGUAAAGGCCUACCAAGGCGAUGAUCCGUAGCUGGUCUGAGAGGACGACCAGCCACACUGGGACUGAGACACGGCCCAGACUCCUACGGGAGGCAGCAGUGGGGAAUAUUGGACAAUGGGCGCAAGCCUGAUCCAGCGAUGCCGCGUGUGUGAAGAAGGCCUGCGGGUUGUAAAGCACUUUCAGUGGGGAGGAAAGGCUCCAUGCUAAUACCAUGGAGAGUUGACGUUACCCACAGAAGAAGCACCGGCUAACUCUGUGCCAGCAGCCGCGGUAAUACAGAGGGUGCAAGCGUUAAUCGGAAUUACUGGGCGUAAAGGGUGUGUAGGCGGUUUGAUAAGUUAGGUGUGAAAGUCCUGGGCUUAACCUGGGAAUUGCGCCUAAUACUGUCAAGCUAGAGUACUGUAGAGGAAGGUGGAAUUUCCGGUGUAGCGGUGAAAUGCGUAGAUAUCGGAAGGAACAUCAGUGGCGAAGGCGACCUUCUGGACAGAUACUGACGCUGAGACACGAAAGCAUGGGUAGCAAACAGGAUUAGAUACCCUGGUAGUCCAUGCUGUAAACGAUGAGAACUGGCUGUUGGGCGCCGUGAGGCGCUUAGUAGCGAAGCUAACGCG